Molecule: ribosomal RNA, 550 nt
Filed under: uncultured bacterium
Lineage: Bacteria
Description: bacterial SSU rRNA
Rfam family: Bacterial small subunit ribosomal RNA
Source: RNAcentral
UAGGGAAUCUUCGGCAAUGGACGGAAGUCUGACCGAGCAACGCCGCGUGAGUGAAGAAGGUUUUCGGAUCGUAAAGCUCUGUUGUAAGAGAAGAACGAGUGUGAGAGUGGAAAGUUCACACUGUGACGGUAUCUUACCAGAAAGGGACGGCUAACUACGUGCCAGCAGCCGCGGUAAUACGUAGGUCCCGAGCGUUGUCCGGAUUUAUUGGGCGUAAAGCGAGCGCAGGCGGUUAGAUAAGUCUGAAGUUAAAGGCUGUGGCUUAACCAUAGUACGCUUUGGAAACUGUUUAACUUGAGUGCAAGAGGGGAGAGUGGAAUUCCAUGUGUAGCGGUGAAAUGCGUAGAUAUAUGGAGGAACACCGGUGGCGAAAGCGGCUCUCUGGCUUGUAACUGACGCUGAGGCUCGAAAGCGUGGGGAGCAAACAGGAUUAGAUACCCUGGUAGUCCACGCUGUAAACGAUGAGUGCUAGGUGUUAGACCCUUUCCGGGGUUUAGUGCCGUAGCUAACGCAUUAAGCACUCCGCCUGGGGAGUACGACCGCAAGGUUG